This 542-nucleotide ribosomal RNA is filed under the name uncultured Pseudomonadota bacterium. Its description in RNAcentral is "bacterial SSU rRNA". It matches the Rfam family "Bacterial small subunit ribosomal RNA", at positions 49 to 578 of the family's 1533-position model. Lineage: Bacteria; Pseudomonadati; Pseudomonadota. The record is from RNAcentral.
UAACACAUGCAAGUCGAACNGGUAACAGGAAACAGCUUGCUGUUUCGCUGACGAGUGGCGGACGGGUGAGUAAUGUCUGGGAAACUGCCUGAUGGAGGGGGAUAACUACUGGAAACGGUAGCUAAUACCGCAUAACGUCGCAAGACCAAAGAGGGGGACCCUCGGGCCUCUUGCCAUCGGAUGUGCCCAGAUGGGAUUAGCUUGUUGGUGGGGUAACGGCUCACCAAGGCGACGAUCCCUAGCUGGUCUGAGAGGAUGACCAGCCACACUGGAACUGAGACACGGUCCAGACUCCUACGGGAGGCAGCAGUGGGGAAUAUUGCACAAUGGGCGCAAGCCUGAUGCAGCCAUGCCGCGUGUAUGAAGAAGGCCUUCGGGUUGUAAAGUACUUUCCAGCGGGGAGGAAGGGAGUAAAGUUAAUACCUUUGCUCAUUGACGUUACCCGCAGAAGAAGCACCGGCUAACUCCGUGCCAGCAGCCGCGGUAAUACGGAGGGUGCAAGCGUUAAUCGGAAUUACUGGGCGUAAAGCGCACGCAGGCGG